UUGCUAGUGGGUGAAUAUUAGGAGUUCCAUAUAAGUUGAUUGUUGUUGCAUUUGGGUAUCGCCGACACAUGUCCUCAAACUGAUUUGAGGAUAUCUGUUUGUUCUCAAAAUUCAGAUAUCGCCAAAAGUCUUCAUGAGAGCUAGCUGCUCUCCACUGGCUACAUACACUUGCAGCUCGACAAAGAUCAAUAUGGUCCAAAAAGGAGAACACCAUAUGCAACAAGUCAUCAGUAAGAUCCAUCCGCACAUCUAAAUCCUCCAUUUUAGAAUCUUUCCCCUCAUCAUCUGUUGCACCAAGUAAGUUAGAUAAACUCACAUCUCCACCACCCUCGUUCAUUGGACAUAGGUAACUGGUUUCCUGCAACAAGUGGUUGUCCCAAUCCAGCGAAAAGGAGUUAACUUUGGGCCUUUUACUACAGGUAAAAGGAUCAGAAUCCUCUUUCAGCACUGUUGAGGAUGAAGCCUCUCCACUCAAACCCAAAUUCAAAUUAACAUCCAACAUUUUCUCACCACUAUAACUUUCAUUCUUCACCUCCACUGUACUGGAUGUCCAGUUACUAUCAAAAUCAAUCUCCUCAUUCUUGGGAACACCAAGAUCACCUACAGCGCCCGCUUGUGGACUCACCACUGCUGCAACAUUGACACCUUCAAAAACAUUCCUCCAGUCAAAUGCCGAAUUCUCAUCUGGAGAUUCGUCACCGUUAUUCCCCAAAAUCGG
This 718-nucleotide unclassified non-coding RNA is filed under the name Hevea brasiliensis (rubber tree). The record is from RNAcentral. Lineage: Eukaryota; Viridiplantae; Streptophyta; Magnoliopsida; Malpighiales; Euphorbiaceae.